GUGAAUCAUCAAAUUUUUGAACGCAGAUUGCACUUUCUGGUAUUCCGGAAAGUAUGCCUGUUUGAGGGUCAGUUAAACAAAACUCGGUGCUGUUGCUGCUCUUCGUGGUUACGCGUCGGAAUUGAGUUGUCUUACCUUCGGUUAAGUGACUUAAAAUUUUGCAUGAUUUUCGACCGUAUUUAAAUUUCUUACGCACGUUUGAGAUAUCGAAUAUUUUAUUAGGUUCGGUCUUCUUCUUGUUUCGUCCCUACAAUUUU
RNAcentral lists this unclassified non-coding RNA (257 nucleotides) under Glomus sp. Its description in RNAcentral is "partial contains 5.8S ribosomal RNA and internal transcribed spacer 2". The stretch from base 1 to 71 matches the Rfam family "5.8S ribosomal RNA", at positions 84 to 154 of the family's 154-position model. Lineage: Eukaryota; Fungi; Glomeromycota; Glomeromycetes; Glomerales; Glomeraceae. The record is from RNAcentral.